CUGGGAACUGAACUUGGGUCCUCUGG
RNAcentral lists this non-coding RNA (26 nucleotides) under Cricetulus griseus (Chinese hamster). The record is from RNAcentral. Lineage: Eukaryota; Metazoa; Chordata; Mammalia; Rodentia; Cricetidae.